This 477-nucleotide long non-coding RNA is filed under the name Bos taurus (domestic cattle). RNAcentral describes it as "long non-coding RNA NONBTAT000255". Lineage: Eukaryota; Metazoa; Chordata; Mammalia; Artiodactyla; Bovidae. The record is from RNAcentral.
AGAAACAAAUAAAGCCAGGUAUUUCUAUGGUUAAUUGAAACUAACAAGAUUUGUCAAUUGAAACUGAAAAAAUAAUUACACUACUAAACAUUCCUUAUUCAGUUCAUCUUUUCAAAGUACAGAAAUUCAGUGAUCUGUAAAACCAUGAGGUAAUGUUAAUCCAAGGGAAACGAGGCUCUUUAAUAUUUCAGUUGAGUCAGUUAAAUUAUUUUUGGCUUAUACUAAUUGGAAUAGAACUUUUGACUGUGUUCUUAAGGCUUCUGGCAGGUUAACUGAGCCCAUGUGAAAAUAGUUACAGUUAAGAAACUUGCUGAUUCAAAUGUCAAAAUCAAGGAAAGUUUGGAGAUAUAGUAAGCAUAGUUUAGUCCAAGUUCAGAGAUGCCAUACUCUUUACUUUCUAGGGUUAUUUGUUCUCUUUCCAUAAAUAAACUUUAGGAAAAAAAUUGCCCAUAUUAAACAAAAUAUAGCUGAUACAUA